CAGUCGGUAGAGCAUCAGACUUUUAA
Molecule: non-coding RNA, 26 nt
Filed under: Cricetulus griseus (Chinese hamster)
Lineage: Eukaryota; Metazoa; Chordata; Mammalia; Rodentia; Cricetidae
Also listed under: 1 other name
Source: RNAcentral